Molecule: transfer RNA, 71 nt
Filed under: Loxodonta africana (African savanna elephant)
Lineage: Eukaryota; Metazoa; Chordata; Mammalia; Proboscidea; Elephantidae
Rfam family: tRNA
About the family: Transfer RNA (tRNA) molecules are approximately 80 nucleotides in length. Their secondary structure includes four short double-helical elements and three loops (D, anti-codon, and T loops).
Source: Rfam by way of RNAcentral
GCACUGGUGGUUCAGUGGUAGAAUUCUUGUCUUAGAUUCAGGAGACCCAGGUUCAAUUUCUAGCAGGGGCG